Molecule: transfer RNA, 72 nt
Organism: Vitrella brassicaformis
Lineage: Eukaryota; Vitrellaceae
Rfam family: tRNA
About the family: Transfer RNA (tRNA) molecules are approximately 80 nucleotides in length. Their secondary structure includes four short double-helical elements and three loops (D, anti-codon, and T loops).
Source: Rfam
GGCGGCAUAGCCAAGCGGUAAGGCAAAGGAUUGCAAAUCCUCUAUUCCCCAGUUCGAGUCUGGGUGCCGCCU